Molecule: non-coding RNA, 97 nt
Organism: Mycena rosella
Lineage: Eukaryota; Fungi; Basidiomycota; Agaricomycetes; Agaricales; Mycenaceae
Source: the annotation of a GenBank genome assembly
GGCCUGAUAACACAAUGGGUAGUGUGCCUGCGUACUAUACAGUGCAUCCGCGGUAUAACUACGGCAGGACGUCCCCGUUCGAUUCGGGGUCAGGUCA